Molecule: transfer RNA, 68 nt
Filed under: Trichonephila inaurata madagascariensis
Lineage: Eukaryota; Metazoa; Arthropoda; Arachnida; Araneae; Nephilidae
Rfam family: tRNA
About the family: Transfer RNA (tRNA) molecules are approximately 80 nucleotides in length. Their secondary structure includes four short double-helical elements and three loops (D, anti-codon, and T loops).
Source: Rfam by way of RNAcentral
GCCAGUAUGGUGGAUAUAACCCUCGGCUUGUAAUCGAGUGGCCUCGGGUUCGAAUCCCGAGUAAGGCA